RNAcentral lists this ribosomal RNA (490 nucleotides) under uncultured bacterium. RNAcentral describes it as "partial 16S ribosomal RNA". It matches the Rfam family "Bacterial small subunit ribosomal RNA", at positions 29 to 505 of the family's 1533-position model. The record is from RNAcentral.
AGUGAACGCUGGCGGUAGGCCUAACACAUGCAAGUCGAACGGCAGCACAGUAAGAGCUUGCUCUUACGGGUGGCGAGUGGCGGACGGGUGAGGAAUACAUCGGAAUCUACUUUUUCGUGGGGGAUAACGUAGGGAAACUUACGCUAAUACCGCAUACGACCUACGGGUGAAAGCAGGGGAUCUUCGGACCUUGCGCGAUUGAAUGAGCCGAUGUCGGAUUAGCUAGUUGGCGGGGUAAAGGCCCACCAAGGCGACGAUCCGUAGCUGGUCUGAGAGGAUGAUCAGCCACACUGGAACUGAGACACGGUCCAGACUCCUACGGGAGGCAGCAGUGGGGAAUAUUGGGCAAUGGGCGCAAGCCUGAUCCAGCCAUACCGCGUGGGUGAAGAAGGCCUUCGGGUUGUAAAGCCCUUUUGUUGGGAAAGAAAAGCAGCAGGUUAAUACCCCGCUGUUCUGACGGUACCCAAAGAAUAAGCACCGGCUAACUUCG